RNAcentral lists this ribosomal RNA (490 nucleotides) under uncultured bacterium. Its description in RNAcentral is "partial 16S ribosomal RNA". It matches the Rfam family "Bacterial small subunit ribosomal RNA", at positions 29 to 507 of the family's 1533-position model. The record is from RNAcentral.
AGUGAACGCUGGCGGCAGGCCUAAUACAUGCAAGUCGAACGGCAGCACAGUGGCGCUUGCUCCAUGGGUGGCGAGUGGCGGACGGGUGAGGAAUACAUGGGAAUCUGCCCAGUCGUGGGGGAUAACGUAGGGAAACUUACGCUAAUACCGCAUGCGCCCUUCGGGGGAAAGCCGGGGACCUUCGGGCCUGGCGCGAUUGGAUGAGCCCAUGUUCGAUUAGCUAGUUGGCGGGGUAAAGGCCCACCAAGGCGACGAUCGAUAGCUGGUCUGAGAGGAUGAUCAGCCACACUGGGACUGAGACACGGCCCUGACUCCUACGGGAGGCAGCAGUAGGGAAUAUUGGACAAUGGGCGCAAGCCUGAUCCAGCCAUGCCGCGUGAGUGAAGAAGGCCCUCGGGUUGUAAAGCUCUUUUGUCCGGGAAGAAAAGCAUCGGGCUAAUACCUCGGUGUUCUGACGGUACCGGAAGAAUAAGCACCGGCUAACUUCGUG